AGUACAGACGAGUUUGAUCCUGGCUCAGAACGAACGCUGGCGGCAUGCCUAACACAUGCAAGUCGAACGAACCCUUCGGGGUUAGUGGCGCACGGGUGCGUAACGCGUGGGAAUCUGCCCUUUGCUUCGGAAUAACACAGAGAAAUUUGUGCUAAUACCGGAUAAUGUCGCAAGACCAAAGAUUUAUCGGCAAAGGAUGAGCCCGCGUAGGAUUAGCUAGUUGGUGGGGUAAUGGCCCACCAAGGCGACGAUCCUUAGCUGGUCUGAGAGGAUGAUCAGCCACACUGGGACUGAGACACGGCCCAGACUCCUACGGGAGGCAGCAAUGGGGAAUAUUGGACAAUGGGCGAAAGCCUGAUCCAGCAAUGCCGCGUGAGUGAUGAAGGCCUUAGGGUUGUAAAGCUCUUUUACCCGGGAUGAUAAUGACAGUACCGGGAGAAUAAGCUCCGGCUAACUCCGUG
RNAcentral lists this ribosomal RNA (461 nucleotides) under uncultured bacterium. RNAcentral describes it as "bacterial SSU rRNA". It matches the Rfam family "Bacterial small subunit ribosomal RNA", at positions 1 to 507 of the family's 1533-position model. The record is from RNAcentral.